GACGAACGCUGGCGGCGUGCUUAACACAUGCAAGUCGAACGGGAUGAUUUAGAAGCUUGCUUUUAGAGAAUCUAGUGGCAAACGGGUGAGUAACACGUAGACAACCUGCCGACAGGAUGGGGACAACAUUCCGAAAGGAAUGCUAAUACCGAAUGAAGUCAGAGGAGGGCAUCCUCCUCUGAUGAAAGAUGGCCUCUGAAUAUGCUAUCACCUGUUGAUGGGUCUGCGUCUGAUUAGCUAGUUGGUGAGGUAACGGCUCACCAAGGCGACGAUCAGUAGCCAGUCUGAGAGGAUGAACGGCCACAUUGGGACUGAGACACGGCCCAGACUCCUACGGGAGGCAGCAGUGGGGAAUCUUCCGCAAUGGGCGCAAGCCUGACGGAGCAACGCCGCGUGAGUGAAGAAGGUCUUCGGAUCGUAAAGCUCUGUUGACGGGGACGAACGUGCGGGGUGCGAAUAGCGCUUUGUAAUGACGGUACCUGUCGAGGAAGCCACGGCUAACUACGUG
This 508-nucleotide ribosomal RNA is filed under the name uncultured bacterium. Its description in RNAcentral is "partial 16S ribosomal RNA". It matches the Rfam family "Bacterial small subunit ribosomal RNA", at positions 28 to 507 of the family's 1533-position model. The record is from RNAcentral.